CAUACGUGAUAUGAAGCGGUUCA
Molecule: non-coding RNA, 23 nt
Filed under: Arabidopsis thaliana (thale cress)
Lineage: Eukaryota; Viridiplantae; Streptophyta; Magnoliopsida; Brassicales; Brassicaceae
Source: RNAcentral